Molecule: non-coding RNA, 264 nt
Organism: Mus musculus (house mouse)
Lineage: Eukaryota; Metazoa; Chordata; Mammalia; Rodentia; Muridae
Source: the annotation of a RefSeq genome assembly
ACGGAUUUUCAUAUGCAGAUUUUCAGCUUCAUGCUAAUCAGUUUCACAGUCAUAUUGUCCAGUGGAGAAAUUGUGCUCACCCAGUCUCCAGCACUCAUGGCUGCAUCUCCAGGGGAGAAGGUCACCAUCACCUGCAGUGUCAGCUCAAGUAUAAGUUCCAGCUACUUGCACUGGUACCAGCAGAAGUCAGGAAUCUCCCCCAAACCCUGGAUUUAUGGCACAUCCAACCUGGCUUCUGGAGUCCCUGCUCGCUUCAGUGGCAGU